UUAGAUUCCCCAUUUUUCGUAGAAGAAAAAGUGAGUGGUUUUGUGCAAAAACGCAAGGACGAGGAGACGUGUGACCAUCGCGAAUUCGGCGUAAAAAACGAAGAAAAUACGUAUUUAAUCAUCUUGCAUCGACCAAUGAUAUCACACCUGGUAUUGCUCUUGAUGUAUGCCUUGGUGUGCUUUUAUUAUUCAGUAUUCACAAGCAAAUGCGGCAAGUCUUGAAAAAGAAGAUCCUUCUGGUAUCUAUCAUAACAUUAUUAUUAUAAGGCAACAAGAUUUAUUACCACUUUCAUUCCCAAAAAUUCCUUCGAUAAUGGAUGAGAAACCUAGAAACUUUCGAGCUUUCAAGAGAGCAUUAAAUCGCAAGGUAGAGAGAGAAAUUGCCAAAAGGACAAAAUUGGAAAGAAUAGCGUCCGUUCUUUAUAAACGAUAUGGUAAAAGUGAGAGCAAUAACGAGAGUGAGAAUGAAAGUGAACAUAUUGUCAAUCAAUGCUAUAUUAUCAAUGCUAAUCAUGAUAAAAAUAAUGAUGUUACCGGAGAUAAUAACAUAAAUGUUUUUAAUUGUAACAAUGAUGAAGAUGAUCAUAAUGAAAGUGAUAAUCUUGAAAAUAAUGAACUAUUAAGACAUGAUGCUAGUAAUAGUGAACUGAGUAUCGAAAAUUUCUCUGACAAUGAGAAUUCCAGAGUUCAUGACACAGAGUCUACUCAUACUUGCACUGAAAGUGACGUAGAAGGAAUAGGUGUUCAAGAAUUGGUUUCAAGUGAUGAAACAGAUAUAGAAGAAGAGCAAAUACAUUGUCUACAUAUAAAUGAGAUAGGCCAAUAUGUUGCUAUAAAAAUAAAAGAAUGGGCAUGCGAAGAAGGUAUGUUAUCAAUGCGUAAAUUGCAAUCAUUGCUUUUAAAACUUCAUCCAGUAUUCCCAAAUCUAUGCCUUACUUACAAAACUCUUUUGAACACUGUACGCAAUAUACAAUUGAUUCAAAUCGAUGAUGGUGAAAUCUGGUACAAGGGUAUUAUUUUUAAUUUAGACUCCAUGAAUUUAAAUGAUUAUCUGGAGCGAUUCAAUAAAAUUGUGAUUGAUAUUAAUAUUGAUGGUCUGCCUAUAUCCAAAAGUUCCUCGAGUAAAUUUUGGCCUAUACUAGGAAGACUUGUAUGGUCUAAAAAUGAACCCUUUAUUAUCUCGAUAUAUAAAGGAAAUAAAGAUCCUAAUAUACAAGACUUUUUACAUUCAUUUGUCAGAGAGAUUGAAUAUUUACAAGAAAAUGGAUACAUACGUAAUGGCAUUCGAUACACAUUUUCUAUAAGGCAUUAUAUUUUAGAUGCCCCAGCUCGCGCAAAAAUUAAAUGCUGUAAAGAUCACGUAGGAUAUUGCGCAUGUGAAAAAUGUGAAGUCAUUGGCGAAUAUAUUGAUAAUAGGAUGACCUUUGUUGAGCUUAACGAGCCUUUGAGGACAGAUGAAUCAUACAAUAAUCAAAAGCAACCAUAUCACCAUACUGGUCACUCACCAUUGGAAAAAAUUGGAACUGGCCUAGUAUCACAGUUUCGUCUUGAUGGAAUGCACUUGAUUUUCCUAGGUGUUAUAAAGAGAUUACUUUUGACUUGGAAGAUGUGCAAUGGGCCGUGGAAAUUGCAUCGGAAUACUAUUGCAGCUAUUUCUUCGGAAUUAAUAUCAUUGAAACCUUCAUGUCCUCAAGAUUUUAAUAGACCUCCAAGAUCUCUUGCAGAAAUAUCUUUUUAUAAAGCUACAGAGUUCAGAAGAUUCUUGUUGUAUGAUGGAAUAUUAGUACUAAGAGAUUAUUUGGAUGAAAACAUUUACAAGCAUUUUCUUCUUUUACAUUGUGGAAUAUAUAUCUUAAGCAGCCCUGUUUUAGUAAAAUCUCAUUGCAAAUAUGCAGGUCAAUUGUUAAGGACCUUCAUUAAACAUUCUGUUGUUAUUUAUGGUGCAAGAUUUGUAGUUUAUAAUGUCCAUUCUAUGUGCCAUUUAGAGGAAGAGUGUCAGCAACAUGGCCAUCUGGAAAACUUUAGCGCAUUUGUUUUUGAAAAUAAAUUGCAAGGUAUAAAAAGAUUACUCCACUCUGGUUAUAAACCAUUGCAGCAGGCUGCUUAUCGUGACUUAGAAAAAGGACCACAAAAUGUAAUUCUUGAAAAUGAAGAAAAUCAUGUUUUUCUUUCUAUGCAAAGAAAUCAUCCUGUUAAUGAAAUCAUUAAUGGCAUCCAGUAUAAAAAAAUUACAGUGAAUAACAUUAUAUUCCAAUGUAACAAUAAAGAUUCAUGUUUUAAAACUGUUGAUGGCGAAAUUGCCAUUCUACACAAUAUUGUGCAAAGACAAGACCAAAUAUAUUUUGUAGGCCAUUUUUUUUCUCAAACUGGAAAUGCAUAUGAAUAUCCUUUGUCUUCAGUUGAACUUGGUAUAGUACGAGUAUCACAUUUGAGUAUGGAAAAGCAAAUCGUUUUAUUAACUAAUAUUGCAGCAAAAUGUUGGCUUAUGCCAGAUGGAAAUUCAUUUGUUUGUGUUCCUCUUUUGCAUACCAUUCCUUUAUUGAAGUAGCUUAAAAUAUUUUUAAAAAGAUUAUUUCUCUCAUCAUUACAGCUGUAUUGUUAUACUUUUAGUUUGUUGUGUUCAAAUUUUUAACUCAUAAAGGCCGCGAGCUGACACAAGAAGAUGAU
RNA transcript from Camponotus floridanus (Florida carpenter ant), 2667 nucleotides. It is a transcript of the gene named bromodomain-containing protein DDB_G0270170, with no coding region annotated. Lineage: Eukaryota; Metazoa; Arthropoda; Insecta; Hymenoptera; Formicidae. The transcript has 4 exons. The record is from RefSeq and is a predicted model, not a curated record.